Molecule: ribosomal RNA, 406 nt
Filed under: uncultured bacterium
Lineage: Bacteria
Description: partial 16S ribosomal RNA
Rfam family: Bacterial small subunit ribosomal RNA
Source: RNAcentral
AUUGAAUGCUGGCGGCAGGCCUAACACAUGCAAGUCGAGCGAGCGGCGGACGGGUGAGUAAUUUCUGGGAAACUGCCUGAUGGAGGGGGAUAACUUCUGGAAACGGUAGCUAAUACCGCAUACCAUCGGAUGAGCCCAGAUGGGAUUAGCUAGUGGGUGGGGUAACGGUCCACCUUGGCGACGAUCCCUAGCUUGGGUGAGUGGAUGACCAGCCACCCUGGAGCGGAGACACGGUCCGGACUCCUACGGGAGGCAGCGGUGGGGAAUAUUGCACAAUUGGCACAAGCCUGAUGCAGCCAUGCCGCGUGUAUGAAGAAGGCCUUCGGGUUGUAAAGUACUUUCAGCGUGGAGGCGUUACUCGCAGAAGAAGCACCGGCUAACUCCGUGCCAGCCGCCGCGGUAAUAC